AUGUACCACGCGUUCACUGCGGUUCUGGCGUGCCUUCCGCGCCCAACUGACAGCCGCUCGCUCCGCUGCGGUAGCC
Molecule: small RNA, 76 nt
Filed under: Xanthomonas oryzae pv. oryzicola
Lineage: Bacteria; Pseudomonadati; Pseudomonadota; Gammaproteobacteria; Lysobacterales; Lysobacteraceae
Description: sX9 sRNA
Rfam family: Xanthomonas sRNA sX9
Source: RNAcentral